GAUGAACGCUAGCGGCAGGCCUAACACAUGCAAGUCGAGGGGUAACAUAGGAAAGCUUGCUUUUCUGAUGACGACCGGCGCACGGGUGCGUAACGCGUAUACAACCUACCUUUUAGCGGGGAAUAGCCCAGGGAAACUUGGAUUAAUGCCCCACAGUAUAUAGACUUCUCCUGAAGUUUAUAUUAAACAUUUAUGGCUAUUAGAUGGGUAUGCGUCCUAUUAGUUAGUUGGUAAGGUAACGGCUUACCAAGGCAGCGAUAGGUAGGGGUCCUGAGAGGGAGAUCCCCACACUGGUACUGAGACACGGACCAGACUCCUACGGGAGGCAGCAGUGAGGAAUAUUGGACAAUGGGCGAGAGCCUGAUCCAGCCAUGCCGCGUGCAGGAAGACUGCCCUAUGGGUUGUAAACUGCUUUUACAGAGGAAGAACCACCCCCACGUGUGGGGGUUUGACGGUACUCCGCGAAUAAGGAUCGGCUAACUCCGUG
This 487-nucleotide ribosomal RNA is filed under the name uncultured bacterium. Its description in RNAcentral is "bacterial SSU rRNA". It matches the Rfam family "Bacterial small subunit ribosomal RNA", at positions 28 to 507 of the family's 1533-position model. The record is from RNAcentral.